Non-coding RNA from Peromyscus maniculatus bairdii (prairie deer mouse), 432 nucleotides. The record is from the annotation of a RefSeq genome assembly. Lineage: Eukaryota; Metazoa; Chordata; Mammalia; Rodentia; Cricetidae.
AUGGUUACUGCAAUGGAACUCUGUGUUUCUGCUGAAGUCACUGAGCACACAUUCCUCACCUUGAAAUUGAGCUGGAUCAUCCUUCUCAUGGCAUCAAUUGCAGGUGUCCACUCCCAGGUCCAGCUGCAGCAGUCUGGUCCUGAGCUGGGUAGUCCUGGGGCCUCAGUGAAGUUGUCCUGCAAGGCUUCUGGCUAUAUCUUCACUAAAGAAUAUAUGCACUGGGUGAAGCAGAGGCCUGAACAGGGCCUGGAGUGGAUUGGAUACAUUUAUCCUGAAAAUGGUGGUACUGACUACAAUCAGAAGUUCAAGGGCAGGGCCAAACUGACUGCAGAUAAAUCCUCCAGCACAGCCUACAUGGAUCUCAGCAGCCUGACCUCUGAGGACUCUGUGGUCUAUUUCUGUGCAAGAGACAGUGUUGCAACCACAUCCUGA